UACGGGGGGGGCAAGCGUUGUUCGGAAUUACUGGGCGUAAAGGGCUCGUAGGCGGCCAACUAAGUCAGCCGUGAAAUCCCUCGGCUUAACCGGGGAACUGCGUCUGAUACUGGUUGGCUUGAAUCCGGGAGAGGGAUGUGGAAUUCCAGGUGUAGCGGUGAAAUGCGUAGAUAUCUGGAGGAACACCGGUGGCGAAGGCGGGUCUCUGGGCCGAUACUGACGCUGAGGAGCGAAAGCGUGGGGAGCAAACAGG
Molecule: ribosomal RNA, 253 nt
Filed under: uncultured bacterium
Lineage: Bacteria
Description: partial 16S ribosomal RNA
Rfam family: Bacterial small subunit ribosomal RNA
Source: RNAcentral